Molecule: long non-coding RNA, 372 nt
Organism: Ictalurus punctatus (channel catfish)
Lineage: Eukaryota; Metazoa; Chordata; Actinopteri; Siluriformes; Ictaluridae
Source: Ensembl
CCGGGACCGACAGGGUGACCUCAGAGCUCGAACCUGAGCCCCACGAGGUGGGCUCACCCGCUGAGCUCCAACAAAAGGUCCAAGUCAAGUCUCACGUCCCUGAGCUCCAGGUCCAGCCUCCAGUCCCUGAGCUCCAGGUCCAGCCGCCAGCCCCUGAGCUCCAGGUCCAGCCGCCAGCCCCUGAGCUCCAGGUCCAGCCUCCAGUCCCUGAGCUCCAGGUCCAGCCUCCAGUCCCUGAGCUCCAGGUCCAGCCUCCAGUCCCUGAGCUCCAGGUCCAGCUUCCAAUCCUUGAGCUCCAGGUCCAGCCUCCAGUCAGGAAGGUCCAGGUCAAGUCUCACGUCCCUGAGGUCCAAGCCAAGCCUCCAGGCUCUG